Molecule: ribosomal RNA, 1465 nt
Filed under: uncultured Citrobacter sp.
Lineage: Bacteria; Pseudomonadati; Pseudomonadota; Gammaproteobacteria; Enterobacterales; Enterobacteriaceae
Description: bacterial SSU rRNA
Rfam family: Bacterial small subunit ribosomal RNA
Source: RNAcentral
AUUGAACGCUGGCGGCAGGCCUAACACAUGCAAGUCGAACGGUAACAGGAAGCAGCUUGCUGCUUUGCUGACGAGUGGCGGACGGGUGAGUAAUGUCUGGGAAACUGCCCGAUGGAGGGGGAUAACUACUGGAAACGGUAGCUAAUACCGCAUAAUGUCGCAAGACCAAAGAGGGGGACCUUCGGGCCUCUUGCCAUCGGAUGUGCCCAGAUGGGAUUAGCUUGUUGGUGAGGUAACGGCUCACCAAGGCGACGAUCCCUAGCUGGUCUGAGAGGAUGACCAGCCACACUGGAACUGAGACACGGUCCAGACUCCUACGGGAGGCAGCAGUGGGGAAUAUUGCACAAUGGGCGCAAGCCUGAUGCAGCCAUGCCGCGUGUAUGAAGAAGGCCUUCGGGUCGUAAAGUACUUUCAGCGGGGAGGAAGGGGGUAAGGUUAAUAACCUUAGCCAUUGACGUUACCCGCAGAAGAAGCACCGGCUAACUCCGUGCCAGCAGCCGCGGUAAUACGGAGGGUGCAAGCGUUAAUCGGAAUUACUGGGCGUAAAGCGCACGCAGGCGGUCUGUCAAGUCGGAUGUGAAAUCCCCGGGCUCAACCUGGGAACUGCAUUCGAAACUGGCAGGCUUGAGUCUCGUAGAGGGGGGUAGAAUUCCAGGUGUAGCGGUGAAAUGCGUAGAGAUCUGGAGGAAUACCGGUGGCGAAGGCGGCCCCCUGGACGAAGACUGACGCUCAGGUGCGAAAGCGUGGGGAGCAAACAGGAUUAGAUACCCUGGUAGUCCACGCCGUAAACGAUGUCUAUUUGGAGGUUGUGCCCUUGAGGCGUGGCUUCCGGAGCUAACGCGUUAAAUAGACCGCCUGGGGAGUACGGCCGCAAGGUUAAAACUCAAAUGAAUUGACGGGGGCCCGCACAAGCGGUGGAGCAUGUGGUUUAAUUCGAUGCAACGCGAAGAACCUUACCUGGUCUUGACAUCCACAGAAUUUCUCAGAGAUGAGGAAGUGCCUUCGGGAACUGUGAGACAGGUGCUGCAUGGCUGUCGUCAGCUCGUGUUGUGAAAUGUUGGGUUAAGUCCCGCAACGAGCGCAACCCUUAUCCUUUGUUGCCAGCGAUUCGGUCGGGAACUCAAAGGAGACUGCCAGUGAUAAACUGGAGGAAGGUGGGGAUGACGUCAAGUCAUCAUGGCCCUUACGACCAGGGCUACACACGUGCUACAAUGGCAUAUACAAAGAGAAGCGACCUCGCGAGAGCAAGCGGACCUCAUAAAGUAUGUCGUAGUCCGGAUUGGAGUCUGCAACUCGACUCCAUGAAGUCGGAAUCGCUAGUAAUCGUGGAUCAGAAUGCCACGGUGAAUACGUUCCCGGGCCUUGUACACACCGCCCGUCACACCAUGGGAGUGGGUUGCAAAAGAAGUAGGUAGCUUAACCUUCGGGAGGGCGCUUACCACUUUGUGAUUCAUGACUGGGGUGA